RNAcentral lists this ribosomal RNA (433 nucleotides) under uncultured bacterium. RNAcentral describes it as "partial 16S ribosomal RNA". It matches the Rfam family "Bacterial small subunit ribosomal RNA", at positions 29 to 507 of the family's 1533-position model. The record is from RNAcentral.
AACGAACGCUGGCGGCAUGCCUAACACAUGCAAGUCGAACGAGACCUUCGGGUAUAGUGGCGCACGGGUGCGUAACGCGUGGGAACCUGCCCUUAGGUUCGGAAUAACUCCCCGAAAGGGGUGCUAAUACCGGAUAAUUUCUUCGGACCAAUGAUUUAUCGCCUUUGGAUGGGCCCGCGUUGGAUUAGCUAGUUGGUAGGGUAAAAGCCUACCAAGGCGACGAUCCAUAGCUGGUCUGAGAGGAUGAUCAGCCACACUGGGACUGUGACACGGCCCAGACUCCUACGGGAGGCAGCAGUGGGGAAUAUUGGACAAUGGGCGAAAGCCUGAUCCAGCAAUGCCGCGUGAGUGAUGAAGGCCUUAGGGUUGUAAAGCUCUUUUACCCGGGAUGAUAAUGACAGUACCGGGAGAAUAAGCUCCGGCUAACUCCGUG